RNAcentral lists this transfer RNA (73 nucleotides) under bacterium. Its description in RNAcentral is "tRNA-Phe". It matches the Rfam family "tRNA". Rfam says of the family: Transfer RNA (tRNA) molecules are approximately 80 nucleotides in length. Their secondary structure includes four short double-helical elements and three loops (D, anti-codon, and T loops). The record is from RNAcentral.
GCCCGGGUAGCUCAGUAGGUAGAGCAGGGGACUGAAAAUCCCCGUGUCGGUGGUUCGAUUCCGCCCCCGGGCA